Molecule: ribosomal RNA, 686 nt
Filed under: Enterococcus sp. UepopsF227.306
Lineage: Bacteria; Bacillati; Bacillota; Bacilli; Lactobacillales; Enterococcaceae
Description: bacterial SSU rRNA
Rfam family: Bacterial small subunit ribosomal RNA
Source: RNAcentral
UUUUAGAGUUUGAUUCCCUGCUCAGGACGAACGCUGGCGGCGUGCCUAAUACAUGCAAGUCGAACGCUUCUUUUUCCACCGGAGCUUGCUCCACCGGAAAAAGAGGAGUGGCGAACGGGUGAGUAACACGUGGGUAACCUGCCCAUCAGAAGGGGAUAACACUUGGAAACAGGUGCUAAUACCGUAUAACAAUCGAAACCGCAUGGUUUUGAUUUGAAAGGCGCUUUCGGGUGUCGCUGAUGGAUGGACCCGCGGUGCAUUAGCUAGUUGGUGAGGUAACGGCUCACCAAGGCCACGAUGCAUAGCCGACCUGAGAGGGUGAUCGGCCACAUUGGGACUGAGACACGGCCCAAACUCCUACGGGAGGCAGCAGUAGGGAAUCUUCGGCAAUGGACGAAAGUCUGACCGAGCAACGCCGCGUGAGUGAAGAAGGUUUUCGGAUCGUAAAACUCUGUUGUUAGAGAAGAACAAGGAUGAGAGUAACUGUUCAUCCCUUGACGGUAUCUAACCAGAAAGCCACGGCUAACUACGUGCCAGCAGCCGCGGUAAUACGUAGGUGGCAAGCGUUGUCCGGAUUUAUUGGGCGUAAAGCGAGCGCAGGCGGUUUCUUAAGUCUGAUGUGAAAGCCCCCGGCUCAACCGGGGAGGGUCAUUGGAAACUGGGAGACUUGAGUGCAGAAGAUGAGA